GAGACUUCGCAGCGAAGGGCACAUUCCUCCCCUCCGCAGGCUGCAGCCACCACGCACAGCGGCGGCGCUGGCCGGAGAUGGAGCCGACCGGCCGGAGUACCAAGAGGAUGAGACCCGCGCCGCCCCACACCCACGAAUCUACGCCAGGUCCAGCGGAAACGACGGAUCCGGCCGCGGGGAGAACCCAACACCCGCCGCCGGGAGCUGGGGGUGAUGGCGGCGAGGGACCGCCGGACCGCAUCAGCGAUCUUCCCGACGCGGUCCUCGGCGAGAUAAUCUUCCUCCUGCCCACCAUGGAGGGCGCCCGCACCCAAGCCCUCGCGUCCCGGUGGCGCCACCUCUGGCGCACCGCCCCCCUCAACCUCGACUGCCGCGGCAUCCCCGGCAACCUCCCCGGCGCCAUACUCUCCGCCCACGGGGGCCCCGUCCACCGCCUCUGCCUCCCGUCGCUCCUCCUCCAGUACAGAGCCGAUGUGGCAGGCACCUGGCUCCGGUCCCCCUCCCUGGACACGCUCCAGGAGCUCGAGUUCUACCUAGAGCUACCAAUAACAUACAGAUUUUCGUUCUCAAGGUUACAGCUGCUGCAACCACCGCCGGCGUCCAUCUUCAGGUUCUCGUCCACUCUCCGCGUCGCCACCAUCAGCCAGUGCCAUCUCCCGGACAAUACCGUGGAGACGCUUCAGUUUCCCCUGCUCAACAAGCUUGCGCUCGUGGAGGUCAAAAUCUCGGAGGGCUCGCUGCAGAGCAUCAUCACCUCCGGCUGCCCUGCCCUGGAGAGCUUGUUGCUCAGGACUAGUUUUGACAUCCGUGGUCUCAGGAUCAACUCCCCUAUCCUUAAAAGUAUAGGCGUUCAUUCUAGGUUUGUAGAACUCAUCAUUCAGGAUGCCCCUUCACUUGAAAGAUUGCUCUGUCUGAGAAUGGAUAUGAGAAUGCGAGUGUCAGUACUCUCCGCACCUAGACUGGCGACCUUGGGUUACAUUUCUCAGGAUUCACAGGACUCCAAAAUCAUGUUUGGCUCCACGGUUAUUCAGAGAUUGUGCGUUGUUAGCCUGACAAUGGUGGUGCCUACUAUCAAGAUCUUAGCUGUGCAUAUGAAUUUUAAUCUGGAUAUGGUUAUUGAGUUGAUGAAAUGCUUUGUAUGCUUGGAGAAGUUGUAUAUGAAGAUUCAGACAGAUUCACCAGCAGGAACAAAUUUCUGGCGUCAUAAACACCGGAAUUUUCUCACAUCUCAGGACAUUCGUUUGAAGACCUUAGUGCUGGGACAUUACCGAGGCAUCCAGGCACAAGUUAACUUUGUCACAUUCUUUAUACUGAAUGCGAAACUGCUAGAGUCCAUCCGACUUGAGGUUGAUUCCAGGGAUUACAAUGACAGAUUUUUCGCAGAACAGUGUAGGAUGCUUCAGAUGGAGAACAGGAUUUCUAGAGGUGCUCAGCUCUGUGUUACAACAGGUUCUCACAAUGAUGUUUCGAGCACCGUUGACCUCAAUGAUUUGGAUUUGGCUGAUCCGUUCGCAUGUAGAUGUUGAGAGUGGGCCUGGCUCCUGGUUGAGUUAUUCUUGCGUAUCUCAUUCUGUGUUUUUGCCCAAGCAUGGACCAAACGACGAUGGCCAGAGUCAGCUAUAUUAUGAAGAUGUCAUCUGGGGGUGCUCAUUUUGAUUGUCCACUGGCACACCUCCCAAACGGUUCCAUUUGCAGUGAAGAUUGUACAGUGUCUUCUCAAUGUCGCUAGCUCUGAGUUUGUAUAAAGGAAAAUUUCUGUUGUUCUCUCCACUGUUCAACUAGGGUGUUUUGAACCAUGUUAUUUGACUGACAAGCUUGCACUAUCCCAAAACAACAUGAUGUUAAAACCGGCUACUUGUGAAGCCACCAGCCAUGCCUGGUGGCAGCAGCUAUAUUCACAGGCUACUUUUGACAAUGAAGAUAUUUUUACAGAACAACAUAUAUAGGAUGCUUCAGAUAGAGAAGAGUGUUUCUAGAGGUGCUCAGCUUUGUUUCACCACAGAUUGUCACCAUGAUGUUUCGAGUAUCAUUGAUCUCAGUGAUUUGGAUUUUCGUGAUGCCUUCUCGUGUAGAUGAUGAAAGCCGGUCUGGCCCUUGGUGAAGUUAUUCUUGCAUAUCUCACUCAGUUUUGGUCCAAACUUAGCCAGUCUUUCUAACCUUGUGUUGUCCCUGAACUUUGUGUUAUUUAAACACUAAAAGAGAUCAGGACCAAACAACAAUGGCUGGAGUCAGCUAUUUUUGUUCCUGGUGGUGCUUAUCUUGACUGUCUGCUGGUACACUCGCCCAAAUGAUCCCAUUCGCAGUGAAGAUUGUACAGUGUCUUCUCAAUGUCUAUUGGGAAGCACCGAGGUGUUACUGAAUUGUACCCAGACUGUAUCCAUCUGAGUUUGCAUAGAGGAAAACUUGUGUUGCUCUUUCCACCAUCUGGGUACCGCUGCUAAAGCUGGGAGGGAGUGUUGUGGUAAUUAAUUAUCAAUCGCUCACAACUUCAUAUUCCAUAACCAGGGU
Molecule: RNA transcript, 2508 nt
Organism: Triticum dicoccoides
Lineage: Eukaryota; Viridiplantae; Streptophyta; Magnoliopsida; Poales; Poaceae
Gene name: putative F-box protein At3g44060
Exons: 5
Source: RefSeq, a predicted model, not a curated record